Callorhinus ursinus (northern fur seal) is the source of this 107-nucleotide small nuclear RNA. The record is from RefSeq and is a predicted model, not a curated record. NCBI's taxonomy places the organism in Eukaryota, Metazoa, Chordata, Mammalia, Carnivora, Otariidae.
GUGCUCGCUUUGACAGCACAUUUACUAAAAUUGGAAUGAUGCAGAGAAGAUUAGUGUGGCCCCUGCACGAGGAUGACACGUAAAUUUGUGAAGCAUUCCAUAUUAAA